Molecule: transfer RNA, 73 nt
Filed under: Neotoma lepida (desert woodrat)
Lineage: Eukaryota; Metazoa; Chordata; Mammalia; Rodentia; Cricetidae
Rfam family: tRNA
About the family: Transfer RNA (tRNA) molecules are approximately 80 nucleotides in length. Their secondary structure includes four short double-helical elements and three loops (D, anti-codon, and T loops).
Source: Rfam by way of RNAcentral
GGGGCUGUAGCUCAGUGAUAGGAGCACUUGCUUAGCAUGCAUGUGGACCUAGGUUCAAUCUCUAGCACUGUCA